UGUCCCAGUUCGGACUGGAGCUGCAACCCGACUCCACGAAGUUGGAUUCGCUAGUAAUCGCGCAUCAGCCAUGGCGCGGUGAAUACGUUCCCGGGCCUUGUACACACCGCCCGUCAAGCCAUGGGAGCCGGGGGCGCCUGAAGUCCGGGACCGCGAGGACCGGCCUAGGGCGAAACUGGUAACUGGGGCUAAGUCGUAACAAGGUAGC
Molecule: ribosomal RNA, 208 nt
Filed under: uncultured bacterium
Lineage: Bacteria
Description: partial 16S ribosomal RNA
Rfam family: Bacterial small subunit ribosomal RNA
Source: RNAcentral